RNAcentral lists this ribosomal RNA (254 nucleotides) under uncultured bacterium. RNAcentral's name for it is "partial 16S ribosomal RNA". It matches the Rfam family "Bacterial small subunit ribosomal RNA", at positions 524 to 776 of the family's 1533-position model. The record is from RNAcentral.
UACGGGGGGAGCAAGCGUUGUUCGGAUUUACUGGGCGUAAAGGGCGCGUAGGCGGCCACCGCAAGUCGACUGUGAAAUCUCCAAGCUUAACUUGGAACGGUCAGCUGAUACUGAUGUGCUAGAGUGCAGAAGGGGCAAUCGGAAUUCUUGGUGUAGCGGUGAAAUGCGUAGAUAUCAAGAGGAACACCUGAGGUGAAGACGGGUUGCUGGGCUGACACUGACGCUGAGGCGCGAAAGCUAGGGUAGCAAACGGG